RNA transcript from Ceratina calcarata, 4191 nucleotides. It is a transcript of the gene named chaoptin, with no coding region annotated. The transcript has 11 exons. The record is from RefSeq and is a predicted model, not a curated record. NCBI's taxonomy places the organism in Eukaryota, Metazoa, Arthropoda, Insecta, Hymenoptera, Apidae.
CCCCGCACCUGCGCUCUUUCAGUACCGUUCCUCUUCGAUUCGCGUUCACUUCUAUUCCCUCGUCGGAAUUUUCGCCUAAAACAGGAUGCGAAAAGAUCGUAACAUAUCAACCACAUAUCACACACAAUGAUAAAAUGGUCAGUUAAACGUUAAAUUUGAUUAAAUUUCAACGAGGUGUCAACGAUUAAUACGAAUAUGCCGAAGAGACAGGCGAAUCGUGUGUGCAUCGAAAUCUUUUUUCUAUUUUCCAUAUGGAACGUGAUAAAGUGUUACAGCGUGCCAUGCACGUUCAACACGAUGUGCAUGUGCUGGAUACAGGACGACGAGGACUUCACGAAGAUGGAUGUCAGCUGCGUGGGAAUACCUUUCGCCAGAUUCCCGGACGUCGAGGUGAGUUACGUGGCUCAGCUGGACGUCGUUGGGUCAGGACUGCAAGCUUUAGACAACGACGUGCUCGGAAGCUCGGUAGACGUCGAGGCAUUGGGAUUGAUGAGCAAUCGACUGUUCAACAUCGGCGAAAAAUCCUUUUCAGGAAUCGCGGACAGUUUACGUUCACUGGAUCUCAGUUAUAACGCCCUGGAGGACGUGCCGUUCAAGGUUUUUCGCGACUUGAGAAAACUCAAUUGGCUCAACAUGCACAGCAAUCAUUUGACGACGCUAGACGGCGACUGGGGCCACCUGAAAGACACCCUAACGAACGCGUUCUUCGGGGACAACUCGAUCAUCGAGAUACCAAAAAUAUUCUCCACGUUCGAAUCCCUGGUCUGGUUGAAUCUUGACAAUAAUAAUAUCGAGGAAUUUUCAGAAGGCAGUCUACCGCCUAAUAUACACACGUUAAGCCUGAACAACAACUUGCUCAAGCAUUUCCCAUCGUCUCUGAAGGUUUUGAAAGACCUUUUGUGGUUGUACCUCAGAGGAAACGAGUUCAAAAGCCUCGAGCUUCCCGACUUUCUAAGCUCAGACUUAGAACUGGUCGACGUCAGCGAGAAUUGCAUCGAAAGGAUCAAAACACCGAAGCUGGCUAACCGAACGCUGAAGAUCAAAGAUUUUAAUCUAGACAGUAAUAAAUUGGGCUCGUUGCCCGCAGGCGUUUUCGACCGUCUUGAAGUCAAGAGAAUACACCUGUCGUCGAAUUCUAUAAAAAACGUCGACGACGACGCGUUCCGUGGAUUAGAAGAUAUUUUAGAAUACCUGAAUCUGGAGAACAACGAUCUGCCCGGAGUACCUGCGGCCGUUAGUAAAUUAAAAAAACUAUCAUAUCUGUACCUCGCUAAUAACGAUGUGAAAAACAUAUCUGGGGACGCGUUUAACGAGUUUGCGGAUAAUCUCCGGGCACUUUCGCUGGCUACCAAUAAUUUGGACGCCGUUCCAGUCGCCGCGCUGUCCAGGUGUCAGAGGCUGUUGCAUCUUAAUUUGGGCUACAACAAGAUCUCGUAUAUACAGCCGGGCGAUUUCGAAUGGGCAGAGGACCUUGAGAUUCUCCUGCUUAGAAACAACGUGUUGACCAAACUGAAAGAGAAAACCUUCAAAGGAGCGAGCAAGUUGAAAGAGCUCAGUCUGUCUUUCAAUCAUUUGACAGAGCUAGAUGACAAUUGCUUUACCGGUAUCGAGGAGAGCCUCGAGAUCCUCGAACUGAGUUUCGCCUUCGGUACGGACGUGUUUCCUCAACGAGCUCUCAGACCCCUUUCGAGCUUGCUCUGGCUGGUCCUGGACAAUAACAAUUUCCAGACGAUAGACGCCACGGCGUUUUAUUCCUUCCAACAAUUGCGGUACAUCAAUCUGGAAUCGAAUCGGCUUCACUAUUUGCCGGAACGAAUAUUUCUAUCCAGCGUCCACCCGGAACUGAGAGACGUGAAACUCGGUUACAAUUUCCUCGAAGCUAUUCCAGACGUCAGCUUCCAUAAUCUGACAGAAUUAAAGUCUUUAGAUUUAACGGGAAAUAGAAUAAAGAUUCUCAACUCGGACUCGAUUAUAGAUUGUCCGAAAUUAGUAACGAUAUCGUUGGCGUAUAAUAGAAUCGUUAAAAUGGAGAGGAACGCGUUUUACGGUUUGCCUAGUCUUCGCUUCCUGCAUUUGGAGUUUAAUAAAUUAACAGUGCUAGAUCUGGAAGUGAUAUCUGAAAUCGGUGGCCCUGAUUUCGCUCUCAACGUGUCGUACAAUGCGAUAUCAAUCAUAAAUUCCGGAGGAUCUAUGAACAAUUUGACCAGACUCGACCUGAGCUUUAAUAAUAUUAGUCAUCUGCCUGCUGACACGUUCCACGGCACGCCAGACCUCAAGAGUUUAGAUCUGCAAAGCAAUUUCAUCUCGGUCCUACAAUCCGGAACUUUCACCCUAAGACACUUGGAAACAUUGAACUUGCGAAACAAUAAGAUAGAAGGUUUAAGAAAACAAUCGUUCCACGGUUUGGAUCUACUGCAGCAACUGGAUCUCAGCGAUAAUCAGAUCGCGCAAUUAUCUACCGAACAAUUCCGUAAUUUGAGGAAUCUACGGAUUCUGAAUUUAUCUGGGAACAAGGUGAGAUCUCUGCCCAGGGACGUUUUCGAGAGAACCAAGCUGGAGAUUCUGGACCUGAGCAAUAACAAAUUCACUGUCGUACCAUCGCCGUCUUUCAUGGAAGUCGGCUACACUUUGAGGGAUCUAAAUCUAGCAGACAAUUUCGUGGACCAUCUGGACUCGACCGCCUUUCCAACGUCACAACUGGUCUCUCUUAAUUUGGCACAUAACAGACUCACUAUUCUGCCGGAUAACUCGUUCGUCUCGUUAGGGAAGCUUCUGAAUUUGAACGUAUCGCAAAACGUUCUCCAGGCGAACUUUAAAGAACUUUUUCAUUACUUGCCUGAGUUACGGCAGCUGUUCUUGGCCAGAUGCGGCCUUACGAACGUCCCGGUGCUGCCACUCACAAAUUUAAACCUCCUGGAUUUAUCUUUCAACCGCAUAGAGUCUACGUUCGAUAAACAGUUUCAAUACUUGAAGAAUCUAAAGAUUCUGGCAUUGGUGAACGACUCGUUGACUUCGAUGCCGAACGUCAAGCUGAGUUUACUGAGAGAACUUGACGUGUCCGGGAAUCCGAUAGAAGAGCUGACGAAGGACAGUUUCCUGGGAUAUCCAAGACUGGAAAAAUUGGAUUUACGUAAUUUAAACAAGACGAGAUUAGUGGACAAAGAUUGUCUCCGCGUUCUCAAGUACCUGAAGCACCUCCGAAUUCAGACGUGGCCCGAGGCCGAAGGCUUCCAUCUUCGACAUUUACUAACUGGAUUGCCACUACGGACGGUGGAGAUACAAGUGAUGGAACAUUUGUUGAAACACCAGAUUCAAAACGUUUUCUCCAAGCAAUUGAGAGAGUUGACCAUUUCUGGGAGCGAUUUGGAAGUAAUUUCCUCGGACGCGUUCUCCACUAUCGAAGGUGGUGAACUGAUAUUAAGGAUCAAAGAUACUCGAGUUCGUAGAUUGCAAUCAGACAUGUUUUUAUCGUUGACAAAGAGACUGUCUCAAUUAACGUUGGACUUGAGGAACAAUCAUAUCAACGAGCUGAGCCCUUCUGUUAUUUAUGGAAAUCUCUCGUGGGAGAGCGUUGGGACCAACAUGGUUGCAGGAGGUUUGCAGGUGUCAGGCAAUCCUUUGGAAUGCGACUGCGAGAUCGCCUGGUUGAGUUUGUGGUUGCGAAGGUGGCUUCGUGAAUCCAGACAGAUUCAUACAGCUUCGCAGUCAGACGCGAGGCAAUUGAGGACCAUAGCAGGAAGAGCUGUUUGCACGGAAACGACACCGUCAUACUCGUCGGACAAGGUUUUAUUGACCCUAGGGACCCCUCACACUGCCUGCCAAGCCUCUGCCCUCAGUUCGGGCAAUUACGAGCGAUUAGCCACCACUUGGUUGGCUAUCGUCGACAUUAUCCUUCUGACCAUAGUGGCUUACUGACCAUAAAGGACAGCUAUUGUUACAUAUCACCCACCAAUUUUCGAGUACCAUUGCCAUAGUCGUAAACGAAAUAGGAAUUGUGGAAAAGAAAAGAUAAAAGAGAAUGCCACUUUUACGAAUUGCAAGCUUAAUAUUAACGAUUCGACCAUAUCGUGUUACCAUAUCGCAAGAAGAAUGAACGAUUUUUCUAUUGCGAAAUUUUGUAAAUAAUCGACGCCUGUAUUAUUAAUCUACUAAUAGGGAAGGGAUAAUAAGAAAGAGAAACCAUGCAGUUAA